This 519-nucleotide ribosomal RNA is filed under the name uncultured Glomus. Its description in RNAcentral is "SSU rRNA". It matches the Rfam family "Eukaryotic small subunit ribosomal RNA", at positions 569 to 1092 of the family's 1831-position model. The record is from RNAcentral. Lineage: Eukaryota; Fungi; Glomeromycota; Glomeromycetes; Glomerales; Glomeraceae.
AGCAGCCGCGGUAAUUCCAGCUCCAAUAGCGUAUAUUAAAGUUGUUGCAGUUAAAAAGCUCGUAGUUGAAUUUCGGGAUCAAUACGUCGGUCGUGCUUCGGUACGUACUGGCGUCAUUGAUUUCUCCCUUCUGACGAACCAUGAUGUCAUUAACUUGGUGUCAUGGGAAAUCAGGACUGUUACUUUGAAAAAUUAGAGUGUUUAAAGCAGGCUCACGCUUGAAUACAUUAGCAUGGAAUAAUGAAAUAGGACGUUCGAACCUAUUUUGUUGGUUUCUAGGAUCAACGUAAUGAUUAAUAGGGAUAGUUGGGGGCAUUAGUAUUCAAUUGUCAGAGGUGAAAUUCUUGGAUUUAUUGAAGACUAACUACUGCGAAAGCAUUUGCCAAGGAUGUUUUCAUUAAUCAAGAACGAAAGUUAGGGGAUCGAAGACGAUCAGAUACCGUCGUAGUCUUAACCAUAAACUAUGCCGACUAGGGAUCGGAUGAUGUUAAUUUUUAAUGACUCAUUCGGCGCCUUAAC